Molecule: transfer RNA, 77 nt
Filed under: Bacillus anthracis (anthrax bacterium)
Lineage: Bacteria; Bacillati; Bacillota; Bacilli; Caryophanales; Bacillaceae
Also listed under: 10 other names
Description: tRNA-Arg
Rfam family: tRNA
About the family: Transfer RNA (tRNA) molecules are approximately 80 nucleotides in length. Their secondary structure includes four short double-helical elements and three loops (D, anti-codon, and T loops).
Source: RNAcentral
GCGCUCAUAGCUCAGCUGGAUAGAGUGUCUGACUACGAAUCAGAAGGUCGGGAGUUCGAAUCUCUCUGGGCGCACCA